RNAcentral lists this long non-coding RNA (2423 nucleotides) under Homo sapiens (human). RNAcentral describes it as "HSALNT0348956". The record is from RNAcentral. Lineage: Eukaryota; Metazoa; Chordata; Mammalia; Primates; Hominidae.
AGAAUAAAAUUUUAAAUUUUUAAAAAUUUAUUUAAAUUUAAACAGUCACAUGUGGCUAAUACCUCAUGUAGUAGAUAGCACAUAUUUAGAGGUUCAGAAAAAGGCAAAAAUAUUUUGAAAUGGGAGUAUAAGGGAAUAGUAAGCAUAAUACUAGUUCACGAUAUUCAUCAAGAUAGGUAUUGUUAUGUACACUUUACAUACAAAUGAGGAAACUAAAGCUGAAAGAAAUUGUCUUCACAGUCCAUACAACUAGGAAGAGGUGGAGCCAGUAUUUCCAAUUCAGCCACACAGUUUUUCCUCUGUCUACAGAAGCUCCUAUAGCUUCUGAAUACUUCAUACAGUAGAUGGAAUAUGAGCCCAGCUUUGAAGGACAAUUAGACAGGAUAUAUAUACAGUGGUAAAGGAAGAAUAGAAAGAAAGGCAUGAACAAAACUUUGGAGACAAAGAGCAAGAAGACUUAGUUUCAUAGAAUUACUAGCCUUGGGAGGUGGGGAUGCUAAACCAUAAAAAAAGAAAACACCUCAUAUUGUUAAAGAACUUGAAUGUCAGGCUAAAGGCUUUACUUAGUAGGAGAUGUAAAUCUACUGAAGUUUUUGAAGGAAGGGUAGUGUUAAGAUGAAGAUGGGGUUUAAGAGAACUGAUACAGGAGCAGUGAUGUUGGAUUGGUCCAGAAGGGAGAGAGAGAGAGCAGGUUGGGGGGUUAUCAGAUCACUUCAAAGGUGAGCUCACGUGUCCCAAACUACCAAGGUGACAACGAGAAUGGGAAAGAAAAACGAGAACUGAGAAAAGUUGGGAAUGAAGCAUUUCCUUGGCAGAAGUUGCAAAAUAUUGGUCUUUAAUGUCAGGCCACAUUUGGUCAAUAAGUGUGUUUUGUUUGGCCCAAAUAAUGUUUGAAAGUUUUUAUUCAUGUGCCAACAUUUUAAAAUAUAAAAGUUUUAAGUAAACAACCAGAUUUAUAGCUUUCCUUCAGGAAAAGAAAAAAAAGAGUAAAUUUUCCAACCUUGGGCUGACAUUCAGUCUGGCAUUAAUUAGCUAGAACUGACUAUUCAUCCUUCUUUUAUAGAUAGAUAAGCUUUCUCCAGCUCUUUGAGUCCUUGUCUUUUCCCUUUCGUUUUAUUCCCGUCCGACUUCACUGAUGCAUGUUUCUUUCCUGGCCUGUGAUUUACAGGAAUAAUAAGGGAACAACCAAUUAUUUUAUUUUAUUUUAUUUCAUUUUUAUUUUUUUGAGACAGAGUCUCACUUUGUCGCCCAGGCUGGAGUGCAGUGGCUCGAUCUUGGCUCACUGCAACUUCCGCCUCCAGGGUUCAAGCGAUUCUCAUGCCUCAGCCUCCUGAGUAGCUGGGAUUACAGGAGCCUGACAACAUGCCCAGCUACUUUUUGUGUUUUUAGUAGAGACAGGAUUUCACCAUGUUGCCCAUGCUGGUUGUGAAUUCCUGACCUCAGGCGAUCCACCUGGCUCGGCCUCCCAAAGUGCUGAGAUUAUAAGCGUGAGCCACCGCGCCUGGCUGAUAGUUUUAUUUUUAAGUUGCUAAAAUAAAAUUUCCUUUCCUUUUAGUCUCAUUUAAACAAAACCUAUUUUUUUUUUUUUUUUGAGAUGUAGUUUUGCUCUCGUUGCCCAGACUGGAGUGCAAUGGAGUGAUCUCAGCUCACCCCAACCUCCACCUCCUGGGUUCAAGAGAUUCUCCUGCCUCAGCCUCCUGAGUAGCUGGGAUUACAUGCAUGCACCACCAAGCCUGGCUGAUUUUGUAUUUUUAGUAGAGACAGGGUUUCUCCAUGUUGGUCAGGCUGGUCUUGAACUCCCGACCUCAGGUGAUCCGCCCACCUCAGCCUCCCAAAGUGCUGGGAUUACAGGUGUGAGCCAGCAUGCCGGCACAAAAUCUAAAUUUUAAAAAAUGGUACUUCAAAUCCUUUGUUCUUGGUGAUCCAGACAAAAGCAGACACCUUUGGUGAUGUCUACGAAGCUCACAAUAACCACUUCCCUUCUUAGUUGCCCACAGAAAUGCAUUUUUGGUGACUAAAUUUAUACAUACAUGGCCUUGCCUUCUGGCUGUAUUGGGAUGGACCAAACUGGGCCGAAUGCUAAUACCCGGACUGCGAAGGGUAAACCAAAACAGAGUGGGGUGCACCGAAGAGGCGCCGCCUUGCCUCCCACCAGUUUACAUUCUCUUUCAACUUCCAAGCACUUGUAAUACAACUCCACUAGGAGAGCCUUUUCCCAAGUCGGCGCCUGUGGAGCUCUCCAAAUAACCAAGAAACAACUUCUCUGCUCAGCUGACGUGCUCUAGGGCUGUCGCCCCCGGCACAGUCCCGGAGAGCAGAGGGGCUGGGACACUGCUACGUGGAGUUCUCUCUGCCCCGGCCAACCCUCCAGCCACCGACUUUCUAAACAGAUAGAGACACCAACUACGGGGGAAGGGGUGUCU